UUAAACAUGAGAGUUUGAUCCUGGCUCAGGAUGAACGCUGGCGGCGUGCUUAACACAUGCAAGUCGAACGAAGCAGUUUAUCACGAUCCCUUCGGGGUGACGAUUUACUGACUGAGUGGCGGACGGGUGAGUAACGCGUGGGUAACCUGCCUUGUACAGGGGGACAACAGUUGGAAACGACUGCUAAUACCGCAUAAGCGCACGGAAUCGCAUGAUUUUGUGUGAAAAGAUUUAUCGGUACAAGAUGGACCCGCGUCUGAUUAGCUAGUUGGUGAGGUAAUGGCC
RNAcentral lists this ribosomal RNA (285 nucleotides) under Pseudobutyrivibrio sp. UC1225. Its description in RNAcentral is "16S rRNA. Bacterial SSU". It matches the Rfam family "Bacterial small subunit ribosomal RNA", at positions 1 to 265 of the family's 1533-position model. Lineage: Bacteria; Bacillati; Bacillota; Clostridia; Lachnospirales; Lachnospiraceae. The record is from RNAcentral.